CAAUUUGAGCCUUAUGCUAUGGGAGCCACUAUGAAGAUCCUAAGAGUGGAGUCAAUCCAGGGGAAGAAAACUGAGAGCUGGACCUGGGCAGUAUCAUUUGAGCCCAGGGUCAAGCGAUCACUGAACUUAGAGCUACUCUAGACCUCUUCAGCUAACAUGAUCCAAUGAGGUUUCACCAUGUUGCCCAGGCUGGUCUCAAAUUCCUGGACUCAAGCAAUCCACCCACCUUGACCUCCAAAAGUGUUGGGAUUACAGGCAUGAGCCACCGCGCCCAGCCUGAGACAAGGUCUUGCUCUGUCACCUAGGCUGGAGUGCAGUGGCAUGAUCAUAGCUCACUGCAGCCUUUAUCUCUUGGGUUCAAGCAAUACUCC
This 371-nucleotide long non-coding RNA is filed under the name Homo sapiens (human). Its description in RNAcentral is "HSALNT0008427". The record is from RNAcentral. Lineage: Eukaryota; Metazoa; Chordata; Mammalia; Primates; Hominidae.